This 99-nucleotide small nuclear RNA is filed under the name Prolemur simus (greater bamboo lemur). The record is from RNAcentral. Lineage: Eukaryota; Metazoa; Chordata; Mammalia; Primates; Lemuridae.
GUGCCUGCUUUGGCAGCACAUAUACUAAAAUUGGAAUGAUACAGAGAAGAUUAGCAUGGCCACUGCGAAAAAAUUGUUUUAAAAAAUUAUCACAAUUUA